This is a long non-coding RNA of Megalobrama amblycephala (Wuchang bream), 1584 nucleotides long. RefSeq lists it as uncharacterized. The record is from RefSeq and is a predicted model, not a curated record. NCBI's taxonomy places the organism in Eukaryota, Metazoa, Chordata, Actinopteri, Cypriniformes, Xenocyprididae. The transcript has 3 exons.
UACUAGCUCUACUACUAAUUGAUUGUACUAAAUAAUUAAUUUAUAUGUAUCAGGCUUUAUUCCCAUCUGCUGAUGUUCAUGCAAUGUUUUUGCAGCAUGGAGACUGGCAUAACAUCUCUCCCAGGAUUCAUGAAGGGUAGCUCAGCUCAGAGGACUGACCUCCUUAUCCUUUUGCAACAAGAUGGCAAAGCUGGCAUGAAUACCAAUCACCCUCUUUUACGUAGGCAAACAACCCAGAACAACGACUAAAUGAGGAUCUGAGAGAAAGGAACCAUGGGUGCAAUGGAGUAUGAUGGAGGUGAUGGGGAUCACGAUUAGGAUGAUGAGGCUGCCCUCUGGAGGAUUACUGCCAGUUUCAAGGUCUGCGUCUGAGAGACCGACACAGCCACUUGACACAGACAUAAUCCUCAGGUCAAGACUCUUUCUUCAGAAUGUCACAUCUCUUUGUCUCACAUAGAUGCCAACUGACCUAGGGUCAAGGUCAGGGAGAAGGUCAUGGGCAAUGUAAGAGUUGAGCUUUGUUAAUGUGUGGAGAUAUAUGGAUAUUUUAUUGUUGAGCAACUGUUUAGACAUGAUUUUACUGGUAUUAGUAGUCUGGAACAUUUUUCAAAAUGUAUCUAAUUUCUCAGAUAAAAUUUCUGUAGACUUUGAUAUUUCUAUUUUAAACUAAAUAUCAAGAAACUAUAAUGCAGGCACUCAAUUCUCUGCAAUUUGUGCCACUUUAAUUAUCAGAAAGUGAUAAAUCAAUUAUACAAUCAAGUAUGAAAUGGAUAAUUAAAAAAAAAAAAUUCACAUUUACAAAAAAGAUAGAAAUUCAUUAAAAUGAUCAUUAUAGAAAAUAAUAAUAUACCAUAGACUUUCACAAUUUAUGAUAUAGAAUAAAGACAAAAUUAAAAGUUGUUUUUUUAGUUUGUCAUUACCGAGUGGUUGAUAGUUGCAUUUUUUAAUGUGUCUUUUGCUUUAUCUAUGUCCCUAUUAAUGAUUUCCCUCGGAGCGAGACACAAUUGUACAGUGAAGCGGAGAGAUUUAGCUCGAUGAGUAUUGACAUAAACACACGUUUAAUGGCAUACUCAUAAUUAAAUACAUAUGUGAAAUACAUGGGAAUCUCAUAUAAAAUGCUCAUAUCAAGAUUAAAUAAUAUCAUGAGGGUUAAAACCGUUUUUGUGGCAAAAAUCUCAUUGGGAUCCGAUUAUGAAAACAUGUUUUGACUUGGAGUAAACUAGUUGUUAGUGCACGUGAAUGGGAUCUGAUUCUGUAAUAAAUUCACAAACCUGUUCAACUGUUAAUCUUAAUCUCAUAGAUAAGCUCAUUAUUCAUUGUAUUAAUGAGUCACUGUAAAUAAAAGCUGGCAUGAAGUGCUAAAUAUAGCGCUAUAAAUAUAUAUCCAGCCAACACAGUAAGAAUGAUCCGAGCUUUGCUCUGAUCUGACUCAACAAAUAACAAACUCACGUGUGCUGACUUGCAGACAGUUAUUGAUUUUAUAUAUAUAUAUAUAUAUAUCACUCUACGGUUCAAACGUUUUUUUUGUUUUUGAAAAAAGUCUCUUAUGCUCACCAAGUCUGCAUUUAUUUGGUUAAAGAAAUA